UCUAGUUUCAGGAUUACGUAUCUUUCGGAAAGCAUGUUUAUGAUAAAAUUUGUUAAUAGCAGAGGUAUAUUAAGUUGUAAAAGCUUACUCUUUAAAAUACUUAUUACGACAUUAUCAUAGGCACAAUUUAUAUCUAAGAACGCAGCUAUUACUGAUUUAUUAUUUGAAAAUGAUAAUUGAAUAUCAGAAAUGAAUAUACUUAAGCUAUCAAUAGUACUUUUUCCACGUCUGAAACCGAAUUGGGAUUCACAUAAUAGACCGUUAUGCUCAACAAACCAUUCUAAACGAUUUUUUAUAAGAUGUUCUGUAAUUUUCAUCAAAACAGAAGAAAGUGCGAUUGGGCGAUAGGCAGAAUGGUCUGAAGAACACCUAUUAGGUUUCAGUUCGGGAAUUAUUUCUUGACGUUUCCACGUGGAGGGGAUGUUACCAGAUGUCACUAUGGAAUUUAUAAGAGAUAAAUAAUAAAAUAAAGCAUCAUCAUCUAAAUGAGAGAUAAAGGAAUACGGAAUACCGUCCAGUUCAGGAGCAGAAUCCUUAACAUGAGACAAUACACCUUUUAGUUCAGUGAGAGAAAAUAUACUGUUUAAACCAAAACAGUUAUCAUUAUUUAUAUUUAUUACAGGGUAACCAAUUAUUAAGUCUUCAGGAACGAAAGGUGGAGCCAAUUUAUCUAAAAAGCUAUUAACUAAAUGAAAAGGGAUUGAUUUUGGGGAUGAAUCUUUGUAUGCAGAUCUAAACCUUCUUAUAUUUUGCCAUACAAGAGAUGGUUUGACAUCAGGUGAUAUUGAAUAGCAGAAAUUUUUCCAGCCAUCAAAUUUCUUUUUCUUUAGAAAUUUUGAAGUUUCUGACAUACUCUUUGUAAGAAUUUCAAAAUUUUCAUCAGUGGAACAUUGACAGUAUGUAAUUUCAGCAUAUUUUCUUCUCUUUACUGCCUCAGUACAUUCGUUAUCCCACCAAGGAGGAGAAGGAAUAAAACCCAAAGAGCUAUUUUUACUUGGAAAUAUCUCAUUGGCAACCUCAAUAAAGAUUCUUGCUAAAGAAUCUGCACACUGAGAUUCUGUACCUGGAUUAAUUUUUGGAAGUGUAAUAAUUUUGUUUUUUAUUAGAUCUUUAUAUAAAUCCCAAUCAACAUCAUUAAGCUUAUAUUUUAAACGAGGAGAAUAAGUUUUAUGUAAUACUUUAUUGUUAUUAUUGCAGGUUGGAAAUGAUAAUAAUAGUGGGAAGUGAUCACUACCAAAAGUAGAUCGUAAUGGAUCCCAGGACAAAGAAGAAACAAGAUUAGGUGUAGUGACUGUUAAAUCUGGAGCACUUGGGCCCUCGUCAGGAUGAGAACGUCGUGUAGGACGACCAUCAUUUAAUAUACACAAAUUCACUGAAUCAAAUAUAUCUAUUAAUGUGUUACCAUAACUAUUAGAAGAUAAGUAACCCCAGGAUUCACGGCGACAGUUAAAAUCACCAAGGAUCAUAAAAGGCUUCGGAAGAAUGGAAAUAAUAUCUUUAAUUUCAUUUAAGAUUGCAGAAGAAGGAUGAGGUAUAUAAAUAGAUACAUAACAGAUAUUUUCAACUAAAGCAGCAAUAAUAGAAAAAUCAUUACUGUGAGAAGGAAUAGAGAAGAGAGAAAAGGAAAGAGGGUGUUUCACAAGCAUGGCUACUCCGCCAUGCCCAUCCACACGAUCUUCUCUGAGACAUGAAUAACCACGAAUCUUAAAUAAAGAUGCUGGUUUCAACCAUGUCUCUUGAAGAGCACAGAUAUAAGAAACUAAUAAGGCAGCGUUGGACGGUGAAAAUUCAUUCGAUUGACUAAGAGAUUUUAUAAGAGAAAUAAUUAAAUCAAUUACUGAGGA
Long non-coding RNA from Leptidea sinapis, 1844 nucleotides. RefSeq lists it as uncharacterized. The transcript is spliced from 2 exons. The record is from RefSeq and is a predicted model, not a curated record. Lineage: Eukaryota; Metazoa; Arthropoda; Insecta; Lepidoptera; Pieridae.